UACGUAGGGUGCGAGCGUUAAUCGGAAUUACUGGGCGUAAAGCGUGCGCAGGCGGUUUUGUAAGCCAGAUGUGAAAUUCCCGGGCUUAACCUGGGAAUGGCAUUUGGGACUGCAAGGCUUGAGUGCGGCAGAGGAGACUGGAAUUCCUGGUGUAGCAGUGAAAUGCGUAGAUAUCAGGAGGAAUACCGAUGGCGAAGGCAGGUCUCUGGGCAGUAACUGACGCUGAGGAGCGAAAGCGUGGGGAGCGAACAGG
Molecule: ribosomal RNA, 253 nt
Filed under: uncultured bacterium
Lineage: Bacteria
Description: partial 16S ribosomal RNA
Rfam family: Bacterial small subunit ribosomal RNA
Source: RNAcentral